CCCCUCUUAGGACUGCACAUGGAGAGUUUCUAGGACUCUACCAGGCUUGGUUACUGGAGGGAGAGUCAAGCAGAGACCUACCCAUUCCAUUGCUAGCUUGGGCAGUGGCUAGCAAAUGGAAAGCAAUCUGUUACAAGU
Ornithorhynchus anatinus (platypus) is the source of this 138-nucleotide non-coding RNA. Lineage: Eukaryota; Metazoa; Chordata; Mammalia; Monotremata; Ornithorhynchidae. The record is from Rfam.